RNAcentral lists this ribosomal RNA (465 nucleotides) under uncultured bacterium. Its description in RNAcentral is "partial 16S ribosomal RNA". It matches the Rfam family "Bacterial small subunit ribosomal RNA", at positions 28 to 507 of the family's 1533-position model. The record is from RNAcentral.
GACGAACGCUGGCGGCGUGCUUAACACAUGCAAGUCGAACGGAAAGGCCCUGCUUGCAGGGUACUCGAGUGGCGAACGGGUGAGUAACACGUGGGUGAUCUGCCCUGCACUUCGGGAUAAGCCUGGGAAACUGGGUCUAAUACCGGAUAGGAGCCAUUUUUAGUGUGAUGGUUGGAAAGUUUUUUCGGUGUAGGAUGAGCUCGCGGCCUAUCAGCUUGUUGGUGGGGUAAUGGCCUACCAAGGCGGCGACGGGUAGCCGGCCUGAGAGGGUGGACGGCCACAUUGGGACUGAGAUACGGCCCAGACUCCUACGGGAGGCAGCAGGGGGGAAUAUUGCACAAUGGGCGCAAGCCUGAUGCAGCGACGCCGCGUGGGGGAUGACGGCCUUCGGGUUGUAAACUCCUUUCACUAGGGACGAAGCUUUUUGUGACGGUACCUAGAUAAGAAGCACCGGCUAACUACGUG